GGUUCAUGGCUCAGUGGUAGAGUGCUUGCCUAGUAUGCAUGAGACACUGGGUUCAAUCCCCAAUGCCA
Molecule: transfer RNA, 68 nt
Filed under: Marmota monax (woodchuck)
Lineage: Eukaryota; Metazoa; Chordata; Mammalia; Rodentia; Sciuridae
Description: tRNA.Thr
Rfam family: tRNA (bases 5-65)
About the family: Transfer RNA (tRNA) molecules are approximately 80 nucleotides in length.
Source: RNAcentral